AAGAUGAUACCUUCAGGGAUCAUUUCUAUAGUUCCUUACUAGAGAAGUUUCUCUGUGUAGAGUACCGGAAACCAUGAAUAGGUCCAGUGUUCUCUCCUGAGUGUGAAGCUGGCGCUGGGCAUUAUUUUGUACAGCUGUCCAUUGCUACUGAUGAUCGUUCUUCUCUCCUCUUGGGAGAGUUAGAGGAAAAGAAUUCAGUCUCACUGGC
Molecule: small nucleolar RNA, 208 nt
Organism: Jaculus jaculus (lesser Egyptian jerboa)
Lineage: Eukaryota; Metazoa; Chordata; Mammalia; Rodentia; Dipodidae
Gene: U3
Rfam family: Small nucleolar RNA U3
About the family: Small nucleolar RNAs (snoRNAs) are involved in the processing and modification of rRNA in the nucleolus. There are two main classes of snoRNAs: the box C/D class, and the box H/ACA class.
Source: Ensembl